RNAcentral lists this ribosomal RNA (578 nucleotides) under Cytospora cincta. Its description in RNAcentral is "eukaryotic LSU rRNA". It matches the Rfam family "Eukaryotic large subunit ribosomal RNA", at positions 65 to 668 of the family's 3401-position model. The record is from RNAcentral. Lineage: Eukaryota; Fungi; Ascomycota; Sordariomycetes; Diaporthales; Cytosporaceae.
ACAACGGCAUUGCCCUAGUACGGCGAGUGAAGCGGCAACAGCUCAAAUUUGAAAGCUGGCUCCGGCCCGCGUUGUAAUUUGCAGAGGAUGCUUCUGGCGAGGUGCCUUCCGAGUUCCCUGGAACGGGACGCCGUAGAGGGUGAGAGCCCCGUAUGGAUGGACACCAAACCUGUGUGAAGCUCCUUCAACGAUUCGAGUAGUUUGGGAAUGCUGCUCUAAAUGGGAGGUAAAUCUCUUCUAAAGCUAAAUACCGGCCAAAGACCGAUAGCGCACAAGUAGAGUGAUCGAAAGAUGAAAAGCACCUUGAAAAGGGGGUUAAACAGUACGUGAAAUUGUUGAAAGGGAAGCGCUUGUGACCAUACUUGCGCCGGGCAGCUCAUCAGGGGUUCUCCCCUGUGCACUCUGCCCGGCUCAGGCCAGCAUCGGUUCUUGUGGGAGGAUAAGAACGGUAGGAACGUGGCCCCCCUCCGGGGGGGUGUUAUAGCCUGCCGUACGAUACUCCCGUGGGGACCGAGGUUCGCGCUCCGCAAGGAUGCUGGCGUAAUGGUCAUCAACGACCCGUCUUGAACCACGGACCA